GAUGAAGAACGUAGUGAAAUGCGAUACGUAAUGUGAAUUGCAGAAUUCAGUGAAUCAUCGAGUCUUUGAACGCACAUUGCGCCCCCUGGUAUUCCGGGGGGCAUGCCUGUCCGAGCGUCAUUGCUGCCCUCUAGCACGGCUUGUGUGUUGGGCCUCCGUCCUCCUCCCGGGGGACGGGCCCGAAAGGCAGCGGCGGCACCGCGUCCGGUCCUCGAGCGUAUGGGGCUUCGUCACCCGCUCUUGUAGGCCCGGCCGGCGCUUGCCGACACAUCAAUCUUUUUUCCAGGUUGACCUCGGAUCAGGUAGGGAUACCCGCUGAACUUAAGCAUAUCAAUAAGCGGAGGA
This 345-nucleotide unclassified non-coding RNA is filed under the name soil metagenome. Its description in RNAcentral is "partial contains 5.8S ribosomal RNA, internal transcribed spacer 2, and large subunit ribosomal RNA". The stretch from base 1 to 120 matches the Rfam family "5.8S ribosomal RNA", at positions 35 to 154 of the family's 154-position model. The record is from RNAcentral.